GCAGAAAGCAGUGGCCUAUUGGCUAAGCCAAGUAAUUUGGCCAUGUGGCACAUGCAGGAAAUCCGAUGUGCUUCAACAUCCGGGGAACGUAAUCAUAGACAUCUGGUGUCAAAAGGAACCAAGCUAAACAAAUAAAACUCACUUAUGUGGUUACAAGUCUGAAGGCCUAAAAUGCUACUUUCAUUGCUUCCUGUGUCAUUAAUAUACUGCUUCAUCCACC
This is a non-coding RNA of Pelobates cultripes (western spadefoot toad), 220 nucleotides long. The record is from the annotation of a GenBank genome assembly. NCBI's taxonomy places the organism in Eukaryota, Metazoa, Chordata, Amphibia, Anura, Pelobatidae.